AAUACAUGCAUCUUUGCGUCAGCUCGAGUCUUUCCAUCGAUUUAUUUUCGUGGAAUUCCCUCGUGUCUCCUAGAAAGUUUCCAAGUCGUGACCUGCUCACGCAUUUUACCUUAUUUUCCCCCCAGAGUCUCUGUCUCCCUAGUGAGUGUGUUACUCCUAUGCACUUUCAAUCUUUCUCUGAUUUCUUUUUCCUUUGUGGCCAUAGUUUCCCCACAGAAUAUUAACUUUUGCAUGCAUACAUUUGCAUCAUGAGGUCUCUUAGGGACCAAAAUUCG
Molecule: long non-coding RNA, 275 nt
Filed under: Lathyrus oleraceus (garden pea)
Lineage: Eukaryota; Viridiplantae; Streptophyta; Magnoliopsida; Fabales; Fabaceae
Description: Pisum sativum (pea) long non-coding RNA (PSAT_LNC030082)
Source: RNAcentral